GACGAACGCUGGCGGCGUGCUUAACACAUGCAAGUCGAACGGAAAGGCCCUGCUUGCAGGGUGCUCGAGUGGCGAACGGGUGAGUAACACGUGGGUGAUCUGCCCCUUACUUUGGGAUAAGCCUGGGAAACUGGGUCUAAUACUGGAUAGGACCAUGCUGUAGGUGGUGUGGUGGAAAGAUUAGUUUCGGUAAGGGAUGAGCUCGCGGCCUAUCAGCUUGUUGGUGGGGUAAUGGCCUACCAAGGCGUCGACGGGUAGCCGGCCUGAGAGGGUGGACGGCCACAUUGGGACUGCGAUACGGCCCAGACUCCUACGGGAGGCAGCAGUGGGGAAUAUCGCACAAUGGGCGCAAGCCUGAUGCAGCGACGCCGCGUGGGGGAUGACGGCCUUCGGGUUGUAAACUCCUUUCAGCCAUGACGAAGCCCUUGUGGUGACGGUAGUGGUAGAAGAAGCACCGGCUAACUACGUG
This 469-nucleotide ribosomal RNA is filed under the name uncultured bacterium. RNAcentral describes it as "partial 16S ribosomal RNA". It matches the Rfam family "Bacterial small subunit ribosomal RNA", at positions 28 to 507 of the family's 1533-position model. The record is from RNAcentral.